GCUGGGCACAGUGACGCAUGCCUGUAAUCCCAGCAAUUUGGGAAGCUGACGCAGGAGAACGGCAAGUUUGAGAUCAACCUUAGCAAUUUAGCAAGAUCCUGUCUU
Molecule: small RNA, 105 nt
Filed under: Marmota monax (woodchuck)
Lineage: Eukaryota; Metazoa; Chordata; Mammalia; Rodentia; Sciuridae
Source: RNAcentral